GCAGGCUGCAACUCGCCUGCAUGAAGCUGGAAUUGCUAGUAAUCGCGAAUCAGAAUGUCGCGGUGAAUGCGUUCCCGGGUCUUGUACACACCGCCCGUCACACCAUGGAAGUUGGGGGUGCCCAAAGCCGGCAAGCAAAUAUGCUGUCUAAGGCAAAACCAAUGACUGGGGUGAAGUCGUAACAAGGUAUC
RNAcentral lists this ribosomal RNA (191 nucleotides) under uncultured bacterium. RNAcentral describes it as "partial 16S ribosomal RNA". It matches the Rfam family "Bacterial small subunit ribosomal RNA", at positions 1300 to 1500 of the family's 1533-position model. The record is from RNAcentral.